CUGUCACGGACAAACUUCUAAACAAGAUGUUUGAUGUAAUGCUUAUGUAUGUCCGUGUCUUUUGGCAUGUUCAUGCCUUGUACAGAAUGUAGAGGGGUGGCCGAAGGCUUAAUAGUCCCACUUUAGUUGGGUUGGUGGCCUCUUUAGGCUUGUAAAUAAAGGUUGUGUCAUGUGGACACGUGCGAGAGCUUUUCGGUCUUUAAUAGACCAUUUUACCCUUUGUUGUGCCACUGUUCAGAGCUUGUAAAGUCUGUUUGUAAUUUGCAUUGUCUAUAAAGUGUUUUUCGGAGAUGUUUGCUUGUGGAUCCCGAUUGAGGCGUCC
Molecule: long non-coding RNA, 322 nt
Filed under: Musa acuminata (dwarf banana)
Lineage: Eukaryota; Viridiplantae; Streptophyta; Magnoliopsida; Zingiberales; Musaceae
Description: long non-coding RNA (MACU_LNC007931)
Source: RNAcentral